RNAcentral lists this unclassified non-coding RNA (281 nucleotides) under uncultured fungus. RNAcentral's name for it is "partial contains small subunit ribosomal RNA, internal transcribed spacer 1, and 5.8S ribosomal RNA". The stretch from base 1 to 73 matches the Rfam family "Eukaryotic small subunit ribosomal RNA", at positions 1759 to 1831 of the family's 1831-position model. The record is from RNAcentral. Lineage: Eukaryota; Fungi.
GCAAACUUGGUCAUUUAGAGGAAGUAAAAGUCGUAACAAGGUCUCCGUUGGUGAACCAGCGGAGGGAUCAUUACCGAGUUUACAACUCCCAAACCCCUGUGAACAUACCUAUCGUUGCCUCGGCGGUGUCGCCCCGGUGCCCCCGGGCCCGGACCCAGGCGCCCGCCGGAGGACCACAAAAACUCUUUGUCUUAACAGAGCUUCUUCUGAGUGACACAAGCAAAUAAAUCAAAACUUUCAACAACGGAUCUCUUGGUUCUGGCAUCGAUGAAGAACGCAGC